UACGGGGGGGGCAAGCGUUGUUCGGAAUUACUGGGCGUAAAGGGCUCGUAGGCGGCCAACUAAGUCGGACGUGAAAUCCCCAGGCUCAACCUGGGAACUGCGUCUGAUACUGGAUGGCUUGAAUCCGGGAGAGGGAUGCAGAAUUCCAGGUGUAGCGGUGAAAUGCGCAGAUAUCGGGAAGAACACCCGUGGCGAAGGCGGCUCUCUGGGACGGUACUGACGCUGAGACGCGAAAGCGUGGGGAGCGAACAGG
This 253-nucleotide ribosomal RNA is filed under the name uncultured bacterium. RNAcentral's name for it is "partial 16S ribosomal RNA". It matches the Rfam family "Bacterial small subunit ribosomal RNA", at positions 524 to 776 of the family's 1533-position model. The record is from RNAcentral.